This is a long non-coding RNA of Pongo pygmaeus (Bornean orangutan), 4300 nucleotides long. RefSeq lists it as uncharacterized. The record is from RefSeq and is a predicted model, not a curated record. NCBI's taxonomy places the organism in Eukaryota, Metazoa, Chordata, Mammalia, Primates, Hominidae. The transcript is spliced from 8 exons.
AGGUGAGGGGCCACGAGGACCAGGGCGGGGUAGGGGCAGCCCUUUCCCAGGCGGUAGCGGGGGCGCUGGUGCUGUUGCCCUUUUAAGCUGCGGCUUGACGGGAGCCGCGCCUCCUGUCGGUGGAGUCGGUUAUAAAGGGAGCAGCCCCCCAGGCCGCCACACAGCUCCCGCCAAGUCCUCGGUGUCCCUUGCCAUUUUCCAGCCGCGCUCCCACGAGGGUCACGGCAGCGGGGAGAGGUGGAGCCGCGAGAGCUCGGCCGGGGGCCCCGCCGGGUGGUCGCGGCCAUGACAGCGGCUCGGGACAGGUUCCUUUUCCGCGCCCCUCUCGCCUGAGAUGAGGGGAAGAUGUCCCUGUCAGCGUUCAAGGCCAAACUGAAGUUGCCGGCCUCUAUCUUCCACGAGAACCAGGAGCCACAGCCGCGGCUCACGCUCCACCGCAACAUCAAGAUUAGAAGUGGACACCUGAGUCAGCAGGACCUGGAAUCCCAGAUGAGAGAGAGCUUAUCUACAUGGACUCAGAUCUUGUUGUCACCCCCAUUAAUGACAGUCCAAAGGUGCAGAAAGCACUCUAACAACUGAGUUGUAGACUUUACUGAGAUCUGAAAUCUGCAUGAGAUUUUCAUUCAGAAUAUUAUUUACUGUCUAAUCUUUCCUUUUCUCUUGUCUGCUUCUGUUUCAUUUGUGCUGCAUGUCUGCAUUUCCAGCUCCCGCUCUGUCUGCAACAGUUUCCUCUGCCUUCACUUCCACUGCACUGGAGUUCUAAGUUUUCUCCCCUCUGUUUUGAAUGAGUCAGCUCUGCCUCUCACUACUGCUUUCUUCCACAUGCCACAGAGGGGUUGCCAGCCUCUUGACCUCAGACCUUAGCUCUCAGUCCCAUCGUUUCUCCAUCUGCACUAAUGUGACUCACUCUAAGUAUUCUAGUCUCUGAUGUAUUUUGAAGGCAGAAGCAGUCAGAGGGCACUGCUCACCAGGCUGGGCUGGGCAGGCAGAUCACACGGAAGCCCUGCCCUCUCACAGGUUGUUAAGACUGCAUGGGAGACAGUGAGGAGACACUAUGGGAGCUGGAGGAGUCACGGUUCACAAUGUACUUCUACACCACUGUAAUGAAACGACCACCAUCAGUUGAAUUUCAACCAAAAAUAUUGCAUCUACCAGCAUUUUCAGUGGAUAAGUUAUAAUUUCUGAAAGACCAAGAUUGGAAUGACUUUUUUGCAACAAGUGUGCUCACAGAUGGACUCCACUGAGAAGAGCUCGAGGACCUCUUGAGCCAAGCUUAAUCUCCUUUGCUGUUUGUGCAUGGUGGCUGGUCACCAGGAGGUGGCCGCCAGGCUCCUCCAUUCCCCGCUGUUCCAAUUGCUAAUCCAGCAUUCGCAGAUAGAUCUAAACUGCGAUAUAUGGGACAACGUUGCUUGGGUGAUUGGUUUACUGGCUUCUCACACAACUGAGCUCCAGGAAAAUACACCUGUUGCUGAGGCAUAACUGAAGGUGAAAGGAUAGAAUCAUAGUGUGUUACUGGCACAGGUGCAUCGGCUAGUGAAGAAAGAAGACAUUCAAAAUAGUCCCUCUCUGUCACCCAGUCUGGAGGGCAGCAGCGCCAUCAUAGUUCACUGCCACCUAGAUGCCUGGGUUGAAGCAAUCCUCCCAUAUCAGCCUUCAGAGUAGCUGGGACUACCUGCGCGGCCCACCACCCCUGGCUAAUCUUUGUGGGCUUUGUUUUGUUUUUCCGUUCUGGGUUUCCACCGGGCACAGUGGCUCACCCCUGCAAUCCCAGCACUUUGGAAGGCAGAGGCAGGCGGAUCACCCGAGGUGGGAGACCAGCCUGACCAACCUGAAGAAACACCGUCUCUACUGAAAAAAAAAAAAAAGAAUUAGCUGGACAUGGUGGCUCAUGCCUGUAAUCCCAGCUACUAGGGAGGCCUAGGCAGGAGAAUCACCUAAACUCGGGAGGUGGAGGUUGCGGUGAGCAAGAUCGCACUAUUGCACUCCAGCCUGGACAACAAGAGUGAAACUCCAUCUCAAAACAUAGACCGGUUUCACCAUGUUGCCCGGGCGGUCUGGAACUCCUAGGCUGGAGCGAUCUGCCACUCUCAGCCGUCCAAAGUCCUGGGAUCACAAGGGGCAGGCACCACACCAGGCCGAUCUAUUCCUUUGUGAUUAAUAAAUUGGACCGGGUGUGGUGGCUCACGCCUGCAAUCCCAGCACCCCGGGAGGCGAGGCGGGCGGAUCACCUGAGGUCCGGAGUUUGAGACCAGCCUGACUAACAGUGAGAAACUCAGUCUCUACCAAAAAAAAAAAAAAAAAAAAAAGCCGGGCAUGGUGGCUCACGCCUGCAAUCCCAGCACCCAGGGAGGUGGAGGCAGGCGGAUCACCCGAGAUCAGGAGCUCGAGAUCAGCCCGACCAACACGGAGAAACCCCAUCUGUACCAAAAAAAUAAAACCAAAAUUAGCUGGCAUGGUGGCUCAUGCCUGCAAUCCCAGCCACUCAGGAGGCUGAGGCAGGAGAACCACCUAAACCCGGGAGGUGGAGGCCACGGCGAGCUGAGACCGAGCCACUGCCCUCCAGCCUGGAAAACAAGAGCGAAACUCCACUCAAAAAAAAAAAAAAAAAAAAAGACCAUAUUUCACCACGUUGCCCAGGCCGGUCUGGAAGUCCUAGGCUCAAUCGAUCCGCCGCGCUCGGCCGUCCAAAGUACUGGGAUCACAAGCAUGAGCUACCACGCCAGGCUGAUCUAUUCCUUUCUGAUUAAUAAAUUGGACCGGGCGUGGUGGCUCAUGCCUGCAAUCCCAGCACCCCGGCAGGCGAGGCGGGUGGAUCACCUGAGGUCCGGAGUUUGAGACCAGCCUGACCAACAGUGAGAAACCCUGUCUCUACCAAAAAAAAAAAAAAGCUGGUCAUGGUGGCUCACACCUGCAAUCCCAGCACCCAGGGAGGUGGAGGCAGGUAGAUCACCCGAGGUCAGGAGCUCGAGAUCAGCCUGACCAACACGGAGAAACCCCAUCUGUACCAAAAAAAUAAAACCAAAAUUAGCUGGCAUGGUGGCUCAUGCCUGCAAUCCCAGCCACUCAGGAGGCUGAGGCAGGAGAACCACCUAAACCUGGGAGGUGGAGGCCGCAGUGAGUCGAGACCGCGCCACUGCACUCCAGCCUGGAAAACAAGAGCGAAACUCCACUCAAAAAAAAAAAAAAAGACCGUGUUUCACCAUGUUGCCCAGGCCGGUCUGGAACUCCUAGGUUCAAGUGAUCUGCUGCGCUCGGCCGUCCAAAGUCCUAGGAUCACAAGGGUGAGCCACCACGCCAGGCCGAUCUAUUACUUUCUGAUUAAUAAAUUGGGCCAGGCAUGGUGGCUCACGCCUGCAAUCCCAGCACCCCCGGGAGGCUGAGGUGGGUGGAUAACCUGAGGUUGGGAGUUUGAGACCAGCCUGACCAAUAUGGAGAAACCUGUCUCCACCAAAAAAAAAAAAAAUCAGCCAGGCAUGGUGGCUCACUCCUGCAAUCCCAGCCACUUGGGAGGCUGAGGUGGGAAGAUCACUUAAAACUGGGAGGUGGAGGUUGUGGUGAGCCGUCAUUUACUCCAGCCUGGGCAACAAGAGCGAAACUCCAUCUGAAAAACAAACAAACAACAACAAAAAAACAGGUUUCACCAUGUUGCCCAGGCGGGUCUGGAACUCCCAGGCUCAAGUGAUCUGCCUCACUCCCGGGAUUACACUGUGAGGGUUAAUUUUAUGUGCCAACUUGACUGGGCCACAGGGUGCUCAGAUUAAACAUUGUUUCUGGUUGUGUUUGUGAGUGUUUCCAGAUGACAUUAGCUUUUGAGUCAGUGAAUUCAGUAACAUAGAUGGCCCCAUGGAGAUGGACAUCAUCCAACCUGGUGAGGGCUUGAGUAGAACAAAGGGAGGAAGGGGAAAUUUGCCCCCUUUCUUUCUGCCUCUUUGCUUGUGCUGGGACAUCUCAUCUUCUGCCCUGGGACUGGGAUGUACACCAUCAGAUCUCCAGAAGGUUCUCAGGCCUUCUGACUUGGACAGAAUUAAAUCACCAAUUUUCCUGAGUGUUCCAGCUUCCAUAAUAAAUCUCUUUUUAAGAAAAUGUGGGACAUAUACAACAUGGAAUACUAUGAAGCUAUAAAAAGGAACAAAAUCAUGUCCUUUUCAGCAACAUGGAUGCAGUUGGAGGCCAUAAUCCUCAGGAAACUAACACAGAGACAGAAAACCAAAUACUGCAUGUUCUCACUUAUAAGUGGGAGCUAAUAAUUAAGUCCUAAUUCCUAGAACCUGUAAAUGUUACCUCAUUUGGAAAAAGCAUA